Molecule: ribosomal RNA, 2405 nt
Filed under: Blastococcus sp. TBT05-19
Lineage: Bacteria; Bacillati; Actinomycetota; Actinomycetes; Geodermatophilales; Geodermatophilaceae
Description: bacterial LSU rRNA
Rfam family: Bacterial large subunit ribosomal RNA
Source: RNAcentral
UGUGGCCAAGUUGUUAAGGGCACACGGUGGAUGCCUGGGCACCAGGAGCCGAUGAAGGACGUAGGAGGCUGCGAUAAGCCUCGGGGAGCUGUCAACCGAGCGUUGAUCCGAGGAUUUCCGAAUGGGGGAACCCCGCACCAGUCAUGUGGUGUGACCCGCGCCUGAACACAUAGGGCGUGUGGAGGGAACGUGGGGAAGUGAAACAUCUCAGUACCCACAGGAAGAGAAAACAACCGUGAUUCCGUGAGUAGUGGCGAGCGAAAGCGGAUGAGGCUAAACCGAUCGCAUGUGAUAGCCGGCAGGCGUUGUGUGGUCGGGGUCGUGGGACAGUUCAGUCACUUCUGCCGAGGUGGCAGGGAGUCAUAAAAGUCUGUGUUAGUGGAAGGCCUCUGGAAGGGGUCGCCGUAGAGGGUGAGAGCCCCGUACACGAAAACUCAGACUCUCCCGAGCUUGUUCCCAAGUAGCACCGAGCCCGUGAAAUUCGGUGUGAAUCUGGCGGGACCACCCGCUAAGCCUAAAUACUUCCUGGUGACCGAUAGCGGACUAGUACCGUGAGGGAAAGGUGAAAAGUACCCCGGGAGGGGAGUGAAAUAGUACCUGAAACCGUGUGCCUACAAGCCGUGAGAGCCUUAGGAUUUCGGUCCGGGGUGAUUGCGUGCCUUUUGAAGAAUGAGCCUGCGAGUUAGCGGUACGUGGCGAGGUUAACCCGUGUGGGGAAGCCGUAGCGAAAGCGAGUCCGAACAGGGCGUAUGAGUCGCGUGCCCUAGACCCGAAGCCGAGUGAUCUACCCAUGGCCAGGUUGAAGCGCGGGUAAGACCGCGUGGAGGACCGAACCCACCAGGGUUGAAAACCUGGGGGAUGAGCUGUGGGUAGGGGUGAAAGGCCAAUCAAACUCGGUGAUAGCUGGUUCUCCCCGAAAUGCAUUUAGGUGCAGCGUCACGUGUUUCUUGCCGGAGGUAGAGCACUGGAUGGCUGAUGGGCCCCACAAGGUUACUGACGUCAACCAAACUCCGAAUGCCGGUAAGUGAGAGCGUGGCAGUGAGACUGCGGGCGAUAAGGUUCGUAGUCGAGAGGGAAACAGCCCAGAUCAUCGGCUAAGGCCCCUAAGCGUGUGCUAAGUGGAAAAGGAUGUGGGAUCGCAGAGACAACCAGGAGGUUGGCUUAGAAGCAGCCACCCUUGAAAGAGUGCGUAAUAGCUCACUGGUCAAGUGGUUCCGCGCCGACAAUGUAGCGGGGCUCAAGCACACCGCCGAAGCCGUGGCAUUCACACGAUCGCCCGUCGGACUCCUUGAGGGUCUGGCCAGGUGUGUGGAUGGGUAGGGGAGCGUCGUGUGGCGGUUGAAGCGGCGGAGUGAUCCAGCCGUGGACGCCACACGAGUGAGAAUGCAGGCAUGAGUAGCGAGAGGGGAGUGAGAACCUCCCCCGCCGGAAGACCAAGGGUUCCUGGGCCAGGCUAAUCCGCCCAGGGUGAGUCGGGACCUAAGGCGAGGCCGACAGGCGUAGUCGAUGGACAACGGGUUGAUAUUCCCGUACCCGCGAAGGAACGCCCAUGCUGAACCCAGCGAUGCUAACCGACCCAAACCGGUCGUCCCACUUGUGGGCCGGCUGGGAGUAGCUCGGGACCCGGACUGGUAGUAGGCAAGCGAUGGGGUGACGCAGGAAGGUAGUCCUACCGGUGAGUGGUAGUACCGGUGCAAGGGUGUGGCCCGUGGGGUAGGUAAAUCCGUCCCACACACAGGGUGAGGCCUGACGCAUAGCCGAAUGAGGCGAAUUGGAUGAUCCUAUGCUGCCGAGAAAAGCCUCUAGCGAGUUCCGAGCGGCCCGUACCCCAAACCAACUCAGGUGGUCAGGUAGAGAAUACCGAGGCGAUCGAGCGAACUGUGGUUAAGGAACUCGGCAAAAUGCCCCCGUAACUUCGGGAGAAGGGGGGCCAUCUGCUGUGAACCGCCUUGCGCGGGGAAGCGGUGGGUGGUCGCAGAGACCAGUGAGAAGCGACUGUUUACUAAAAACACAGGUCCGUGCGAAGUCGUAAGACGAUGUAUACGGACUGACGCCUGCCCGGUGCUGGAACGUUAAGGGGACGGGUUAGCCGCAAGGCGAAGCUCAGAACUCAAGCGCCAGUAAACGGCGGUGGUAACUAUAACCAUCCUAAGGUAGCGAAAUUCCUUGUCGGGUAAGUUCCGACCUGCACGAAUGGCGUAACGACUUCUCAGCUGUCUCAACCACAGGCUCGGCGAAAUUGCACUACGAGUAAAGAUGCUCGUUACGCGCGGCAGGACGGAAAGACCCCGGGACCUUUACUAUAGCUUGAUAUUGGUGUUCGGUUCGGCUUGUGUAGGAUAGGUGGGAGACUGCGAAGCGGGCACGCCAGUGUUCGUGGAGUCGCCGUUGAAAUACCACUCUGG